UUAAUCAUGUAGCACUCCUACACGUCAUAAAAGCAUCCCAUCAAAUGGAAAGAGAGAGCCUUUAAACCCUUCUUACUCCUAUGACCGGACGGUCUGGUUAUCAACCCAAUUCAAGUACUUGCUAAUCGAAUCUUCUAAUCUAAUUAUAUAUCAUAUAUGUAUGAAUGUAGAUCUAAUCUAAAUUAUAUCAGAUUUGAUUAUAACUUUAGAUCACAUCUAAAU
This 222-nucleotide long non-coding RNA is filed under the name Elaeis guineensis (African oil palm). RNAcentral describes it as "long non-coding RNA (EGUI_LNC062902)". Lineage: Eukaryota; Viridiplantae; Streptophyta; Magnoliopsida; Arecales; Arecaceae. The record is from RNAcentral.